This 251-nucleotide ribosomal RNA is filed under the name uncultured prokaryote. RNAcentral's name for it is "partial 16S rRNA". It matches the Rfam family "Bacterial small subunit ribosomal RNA", at positions 525 to 775 of the family's 1533-position model. The record is from RNAcentral.
ACGGGGGAUGCAAGCGUUAUCCGGAUUUAUUGGGUUUAAAGGGUGCGUAGGCGGUUUGAUAAGUCAGCGGUGAAAUAUUUCAGCUUAACUGAAAGGGUGCCGUUGAUACUGUCAGGCUUGAAUAUGGUUGCUGUGGGUGGAAUGUGUAGUGUUACGAUGAAAUGCUUAGAAAUCACACAUAAUAUCGAUUGCGAAGUCAGCGCACAAAACUAUUAUUGAAGUUGUUGCACGUAUGUGUGGCGAUCUCACAG